This 513-nucleotide small RNA is filed under the name Histoplasma capsulatum. Its description in RNAcentral is "hypothetical RNA". RNAcentral also lists the same sequence under 1 other name. Lineage: Eukaryota; Fungi; Ascomycota; Eurotiomycetes; Onygenales; Ajellomycetaceae. The record is from RNAcentral.
CCAGCAAAUAUCGACAGAGGGUAUAUCCUUUCUAUACUUUCUCUCCAGGUUCUGUUCUGAUUUGGAAAUAAUCUUGUUGGUGAGAGGAGAGGGGAUGGAUGGCCCAUUUGGGGCUUGCGGCCGUGUGGGCAUUGUGGGCAUUGCGGGCGGGUUUGCGAUUGCUUUCGUUCGGGCGGUUGCAGGAUGUACACAGUGCAGAGUGACCUGUACGAAUACCUUCGUUGUCGCUCAGAGGUAGUUGGGACGGGAGGAGUUGUGUAAGUUGUUGGAUACAUACAACCGAGUCUGGAUCCAAUCCAGCGCAUAAAAUAAAAAAAUAAAAUAAAAAGUAACUUCUUAGGCAACAACCGAUUCGAAGUUGAGGGAACACGGUGAGUUGGUUUUGUCCAAGUCACGAUCCCAUGUAGCCCGUGUAAUUCGUCUUGAGGCAAUUCCCAAGUCGUUUAUUGCUCACUCACUCACUCACUCAGUGUCUCUGAGCUGCUUCCUUCCGGAAACGUUUCCAGUGGUAAA